This 350-nucleotide ribosomal RNA is filed under the name uncultured bacterium. RNAcentral describes it as "bacterial SSU rRNA". It matches the Rfam family "Bacterial small subunit ribosomal RNA", at positions 8 to 349 of the family's 1533-position model. The record is from RNAcentral.
AGAGUUUGAUCCUGGCUCAGGAUGAACGCUAGCUACAGGCUUAACACAUGCAAGUCGAGGGGCAGCAUGUUGGUUGCUUGCAACCAAUGAUGGCGACCGGCGCACGGGUGAGUAACGCGUAUCCAACCUACCCUUGUCCAUCGGAUAACCCGUCGAAAGGCGGCCUAACACGAUAUGCGGUUCUCAGCAGGCAUCUAACGAGAACGAAAUGUGAAGGAGAAGGAUGGGGAUGCGUCUGAUUAGCUUGUUGGCGGGGUAACGGCCCACCAAGGGCGACGAUCGAGUAGGGGUUCUGAGAGGAAGGUCCCCCAGAUUGGAACUGAGACACGGUCCAAACUCCUACGGGAGCA